This 466-nucleotide ribosomal RNA is filed under the name uncultured bacterium. Its description in RNAcentral is "bacterial SSU rRNA". It matches the Rfam family "Bacterial small subunit ribosomal RNA", at positions 330 to 792 of the family's 1533-position model. The record is from RNAcentral.
GCCAGACUCCUACGGGAGGCAGCAGUGAGGAAUAUUGGUCAAUGGGCGGAAGCCUGAACCAGCCAAGUCGCGUGAGGGAAUAAGGCCCUACGGGUCGUAAACCUCUUUUGCCGGGGAGCAAGGGCCGGGACGCGUCCCGGCCCGGAGAGUACCCGGAGAAAAAGCAUCGGCUAACUCCGUGCCAGCAGCCGCGGUAAUACGGAGGAUGCGAGCGUUAUCCGGAAUUACUGGGCGUAAAGAGAGCGUAGGCGGCACUACAAGUCUCAUGUGAAAUACCCGGGCUUAACUUGGGGGUUGCAUGGGAAACUGUAGAGCUUGAGUACAGGAGAGGCAAGCGGAAUUCCUAGUGUAGCGGUGAAAUGCAUAGAUAUUAGGAGGAACACCAGUGGCGAAGGCGGCUUGCUGGACUGAAACUGACGCUGAGGCUCGAAAGCGUGGGGAGCAAACAGGAUUAGAUACCCCUGUA